ACCGCGAUAGCUCAGUUAGUAGAGCAUCUGCCCGGUAAGCGGAUAGUUGCCGGUUCGUCUCCGGCUCGCGGCG
Molecule: transfer RNA, 73 nt
Filed under: Fasciola hepatica (liver fluke)
Lineage: Eukaryota; Metazoa; Platyhelminthes; Trematoda; Plagiorchiida; Fasciolidae
Rfam family: tRNA
About the family: Transfer RNA (tRNA) molecules are approximately 80 nucleotides in length.
Source: Rfam by way of RNAcentral